CCCAACAGCGGAGGCCGCCACUGAAGCUGACUUCCUACACUCCACAGGGGACUCCUCGGGUUACAAGCUUGGCCCAAAUGUUCCUGACUCCACUGCAUUGGCUGCCAAGGCUACCGGCGCCUAGUCAAGGCCAGCAGCAGGAGGGGACACUGCGUGCCUGCUACAUUCCGGACUUUGGGCUAAGCACUCUGCCAUCUUGAGCAACAGGGCCAAGAGGACCUGCACUUGUCCUGUCCUGUACCACCUAGGCCUGUAUCACCCAGAAGGGCAGAGAUGGCAGGGGGCAGAAGCUAAGCAGAAAAAUGCCACGCUCCUCCUCCUUGAGGCUGAAGCCAUCACUCACAGGACAGAGCCAGAAACCUGAUUUCCAGAGUCCAGGACCUA
This is a long non-coding RNA of Lontra canadensis (Northern American river otter), 384 nucleotides long. RefSeq lists it as uncharacterized. The transcript has 3 exons. NCBI's taxonomy places the organism in Eukaryota, Metazoa, Chordata, Mammalia, Carnivora, Mustelidae. The record is from RefSeq and is a predicted model, not a curated record.